GCACAGGAUGGUGGCGCUCCUCUGCAACAGCCAGCGAAACGGAACAAUAAAUAAAACAAAACAAAAACACAACCGAAAGACAAAGAGGCGAAAUCAACCGAGGGAAGAACGAAAGAAAGAAAAAAAGAAAGGAAAGUCGUGAAGACACCCAGGGGUGACGGGUGGGUGAGGAGGGUCCGGAGACGUGGAGCUGGAGGAAGACGCAGAGAAAGAGACGUUUUGUCCUGCUCGUUCUCUCGGUGAAGAUGCUGCAGUCUUGCGUUCAGAGCAUCCCUUCUCUGACUGGCUGCUGGAGGACGCGCAGGGGAGCGGCUGACGUCACGGGGCCUUGAGAUGCCUUCACGUCUUCCCGUAAAGUCGGCAUUCCCUGUUAUUUUUUAACGUAAAUACUCAACUUUUCUUCUGCUUUACCUCUUUUAGUUAAGACUUGAAAACAAAGUAUUACCCCCAGGAACGCGUUUUCUAUUUUGCUCUGCUUUAUUGCAUGUUACUGCUGGACGGGGGCGACAGCCUUCACUACAUCCUACUGACCAUCUUCCACCAGCAGUUUUAGUUUUAUUUAGCGAAGAAGAAGAAGUAAAUGCACAGUUAAACAAAUCUGCAGUGAGAUGGACUAAACGGCCUUAAACUGGAAAUCUGCUCACAUGCGCACCAGUUUAGGGAUGUCUUAUUUUCGACGACACGCGAAGGCAUCACGAGAGAAAGUGAGAGAGGGAGAGAGAGGGUGAGAUACGCGAUUGGCCGAGGUUGUGUUUCUCCAGCACAACGCGGAGGACUGGGAUGUGCGCGGAGUCACAUGACGGACAGGAGAGGAUGCGGCGGCGGGUUCCUGCUCCGUUACAACAGCGGCGAUUGCAGUUGAGACCGAACGGGGCCCUGAACGUCCCGCUGCGGCUGUUUGAAGGUCUGAUGCGAUGCCUGUCAGGAGGGGGCCAGGGGAGCUGCAAACACGCGUGGAAAUGUGCAGGGAAGCUCGCCUUCAGGUCUCUGGGCUUCAGUAGAAAUAUUAGAAAUCAGCAAGAGGAAUCUAACUUGAGAGUUUGGAGGAAGUUUAUCAUUAUUAAAAUAAAUUAAAUU
Molecule: long non-coding RNA, 1077 nt
Organism: Mugil cephalus (flathead mullet)
Lineage: Eukaryota; Metazoa; Chordata; Actinopteri; Mugiliformes; Mugilidae
Exons: 2
Source: RefSeq, a predicted model, not a curated record